Long non-coding RNA from Brassica oleracea var. oleracea, 1038 nucleotides. RefSeq lists it as uncharacterized. The transcript is spliced from 7 exons. Lineage: Eukaryota; Viridiplantae; Streptophyta; Magnoliopsida; Brassicales; Brassicaceae. The record is from RefSeq and is a predicted model, not a curated record.
CACGGAAGUCCACCUUCGUUGAGAUUGCCGAGACUAUAAACCCCGUCCAACAAAGAUAUUCAUGUUUCGUACGAAUGAACAAUUGAUGUUACUCGCACGAACAGAAGAUUAUCAGAUAUUGUUGGCGAAUUAAGGGGCAUCAAAACCAUCUGGAACAAUGAAACCCAUAACGUUAUAAUGGAGAUCCUAAGAAUUGAGAGGAUGAGAAUGAGAAAGCAAGCUUUCCAUGAAGAGUUUCAGAGAAAAAAAGGAAUAGUUUGUAAUAAAGAUACAACCCCGCACAACUUAUGGAAGCAUCUGUUGAAGACAUAAAUGCUAGAUCACUGCCACAAAACUUAAAGGAUUUAGUACGCAGAACCUACACUUUCAAGUUAAAGCUGUUCGAAUUCAACUUCUCUUCUAAACAUCAGUCUUUUACCAUAGCAAGAAUCUUUGAUGACAAUGAACGUCAGCCCCUGAAAACUUUGCGGUACAUAGAGGAACCAUUGCUCUGGAGCUGUGAAAACUAAGGCCUCCAUUGUGCGACCAGAGAAGCCCCUAAGACCAACGGUGGGAUUGAUGUUGUUGGGAUGGUUGAAGGAACUGCAGCUGCCACUCCAACUUUACCUGCUCACAUGGAAUUAAGGCUGACAUGAUUCCUCUUCCUGAAGAGGUGUGCGCUGGGAAUUCCAUUGACUAUAAGACAGAUGUUGGAAAAGAACAGUAUGAAAAGUUGGUUGGGGAUGACACAAACUAGACUGUCUCUUCAUCUAAGCUUCUUCAUGCACAGAAAAUAGAACCUCUUAUCGUUCUGAGCUCAACUGAUACGUUAUCACAUCUGAACCUCAGAUAAUAGAGUUCCUCUGUACGCCAAAGUUACUGGAAUUCAGGCAAAUUCAGGCAGAGAAAUGAUGGUGUUAUAUUGGUUGCUCAAAAUGUUCGAAGAAGCUCCAGCGAAAUGUUGUGUCUGAGACACCCCGCAAAUGUUUGAGACAAACGACUGUUGUUAGUUUAUUUCACUAUGUAUCUCUACAGACUCAGAGGUUUGUAUUGACAAGC